GUGUAGAACGGGCGGAAGGUCCCUGUCUUGCCGACCUCACCCCCGCCCUGUGCGGAGUGGAACGUCCCGGCUCCUUAAGGGCCUGGGCCGCGGCGGGAGCGGCCUUUCCUCCGUGGCUGCUGCGGUGCGGGUGUGCUCUGGCUUCUGGCGCUGGUGGCCGGUGGCCGGUGGCCGCAGCCAGUGCCUUCCUCGUGUUUGGGAGAUGUUUCCGGGGAGCUUAACCGGAGGCGGCGGGCGGCCGCCCACGUGGGCCUCGGGCGGGCGCCGGGGCGGGGACUGGAGCCUGGCGGGGCCGCGCCACGCAGCCGGGCGCGUGCUUGUCCCGCGGGCCCGCCGCCCCCCGGAGCCUGAGGUCGCCGAAGGCCGGGACCCCUGGGCCUGGGCUCGCCGUUGGGAGUGAGCCAACCCGAGAGAACUGGCAGACCCACCGAAGAGGGCCCCGGGCGGAGCGGCCGCGCCCUGCGGUUGCAAAUGAAUGAAGAACUGGCAAGAGCCGAGGACUGCAGUGGAGCAUUGGCCUGCAACGGGGUAAGCUGUGGUCUGUGGAGAGGCUCUGAGUGCUGGAGAAUGGUGACCUGUGCAGGCCAAAGCUGGUGAUGGUGGCAGCAGCAGCAGCUUACCCUGGGGACAGGCUGUUUUUCCAGUGGAUGGUCCGCCAUGCUGCAGCAGGGGCAGAACUUGAAGUUCCAAGGACCAGUAGUCACCAUCAAUUUGGACUCAAGACGAAAACCUAGGCUUCAACAUUUAGUGUAGAAAGUCUCACCCUGUCCCACUGGCUUGGCUCAGUGGAUAGAGCAUCAGCCUGUGGACUGAAGGGUCCCAGGUUCAAUUCCAGCCAAGGGCACAUGCCCAGGUUGCAGACUUCAAUCCCCAGUGGGGGGUGUGCAGGAGGCAGCUGAUCAAUGAUUCUCAUCAAUGUUUCUCUCUCUCCCUUCCUCUCUGAAAUAAUAAAAAAAU
This is a long non-coding RNA of Myotis daubentonii (Daubenton's bat), 957 nucleotides long. RefSeq lists it as uncharacterized. NCBI's taxonomy places the organism in Eukaryota, Metazoa, Chordata, Mammalia, Chiroptera, Vespertilionidae. The record is from RefSeq and is a predicted model, not a curated record.